GACGAACGCUGGCGGCGUGCUUAACACAUGCAAGUCGAACGGAAAGGCCCUGCUUUUGUGGGGUGCUCGAGUGGCGAACGGGUGAGUAACACGUGAGUAACCUGCCCUUGACUUUGGGAUAACUUCAGGAAACUGGGGCUAAUACCGGAUAGGAGCUCCUGCUGCAUGGUGGGGGUUGGAAAGUUUCGGCGGUUGGGGAUGGACUCGCGGCUUAUCAGCUUGUUGGUGGGGUAGUGGCUUACCAAGGCUUUGACGGGUAGCCGGCCUGAGAGGGUGACCGGCCACAUUGGGACUGCGAUACGGCGCAGACUCCUACGGGAGGCAGCAGUGGGGAAUAUGGCACAAUGGGCGGAAGCCUGAUGCAGCAACGCCGCGUGCGGGAUGACGGGCUUCGGGUUGUAAACCGCUGUCGCCUGUGACGAAGCGUGAGUGACGGUAAUGGGUAAAGAAGCACCGGCUAACUACGUG
RNAcentral lists this ribosomal RNA (468 nucleotides) under uncultured bacterium. RNAcentral's name for it is "partial 16S ribosomal RNA". It matches the Rfam family "Bacterial small subunit ribosomal RNA", at positions 28 to 507 of the family's 1533-position model. The record is from RNAcentral.